RNAcentral lists this ribosomal RNA (207 nucleotides) under uncultured bacterium. RNAcentral describes it as "partial 16S ribosomal RNA". It matches the Rfam family "Bacterial small subunit ribosomal RNA", at positions 29 to 234 of the family's 1533-position model. The record is from RNAcentral.
AACGAACGCUGGCGGCGUGCCUAACACAUGCAAGUCGGACGAGAAAGUUUCCUUCGGGAAGCGAGUAAAGUGGCGCACGGGUGAGUAACACGUAGACAACCUGCCUUCCAGUCCGGGACAACCUUUCGAAAGAAGGGCUAAUACCGGAUAACACUUUGGGCCGCAUGGCCUGGGGUUGAAAGAUUUAUCGCUGGAAGAGGGGUCUGC